Kwoniella sp. CBS 9459 is the source of this 93-nucleotide non-coding RNA. The record is from the annotation of a GenBank genome assembly. NCBI's taxonomy places the organism in Eukaryota, Fungi, Basidiomycota, Tremellomycetes, Tremellales, Cryptococcaceae.
GUCCUCAUCGUCUAGUCUGGUUAGGACGUUACAUUGUGGUGGUAUUUCACGACAAUUUCUGUGGAGGCAGCUGUUCGAAUCAGCUUGGGGACA